UUAACUUAUUAAGUUAUAGGUUCAGAAAUUCAAGAAUAAACAGAGUUUGCUGGUCCACUGGCAGGCUCACCGCGCUUACCGGGUAGGCCUUACAGGGUAGGGCUGUUCCAGGUAGGCGCGAACUGCCGAGGCAACUUGAGGUAUGUUCACAUGGGUUUGGGAGUUUUUUAGAACUCUAUAAUGAUCCCUCCGCUGGUUCACCAACGGAGA
RNAcentral lists this unclassified non-coding RNA (210 nucleotides) under uncultured fungus. RNAcentral describes it as "sequence contains ITS1". Lineage: Eukaryota; Fungi. The record is from RNAcentral.